GACGUAGGAUCCAAGCGUUGUCCGGAUUUACUGGGCGUAAAGGGUGCGCAGGCGGCCUUAUAAGUCAGUGGUGAAAUCUCACAGCUUAACUGUGAAACUGCCUUUGAUACUGUAGGUCUUGAAUUAGGGAGAGAUUCGUGGAAUUCCGAGUGUAGCAGUGAAAUGUGUAGAUAUUCGGAAGAACACCAGAGGCGAAGGCAGCGAAUUGGCCCUAUAUUGACGCUCAGGCACGAAAGCAUGGGGAUCAAACAGG
RNAcentral lists this ribosomal RNA (253 nucleotides) under uncultured bacterium. RNAcentral describes it as "partial 16S ribosomal RNA". It matches the Rfam family "Bacterial small subunit ribosomal RNA", at positions 524 to 776 of the family's 1533-position model. The record is from RNAcentral.